Girardinichthys multiradiatus is the source of this 896-nucleotide non-coding RNA. The record is from the annotation of a RefSeq genome assembly. Lineage: Eukaryota; Metazoa; Chordata; Actinopteri; Cyprinodontiformes; Goodeidae.
UGUGUGUUUGCAUAUGUGUCCUGCCUCUCUGCUCCCAGCUGUUAAGAGGUCAGAGUUGAUCAGUGUCUGUCCAGGUCUUUCAGAGUCACUGACACACCAGCAGAACAAUGAAGAUGUUACUGACUCUACUGUUGACCAUCCUGGAGCUCCUGGUUCAGGGAUCUUCAGGACAAGUUACUGUAACUCAAACCCCUGGAUCUCAGUCUGUUGUUCCAGGACAUACUGUCUCUAUUAAAUGUAAAGUCAAUCCAAGUACGAGUAACUGCUUCAGCUGGUACCUUCAGAAAUCAGGAGAAGUGCCUAAACUCCUUAUCAGAUGCGCAAGCACCCGUCACUCUGGAGUUCCUGAUCGUUUCAGUGGAACAAAGUCUGGGAAUACAGACUUUACUCUGACCAUCAGUGGAGUUCAGGCUGAAGAUGCUGGAGUUUAUUACUGUCAGAGCGCUCAUAGCAUCAACAGCCAGUGGUUGUUCACACAGUGAAAAACACUCGUACAAAAACCUCCUUUAGUCAAAGUAAACAGAAACUGAACUGACUGCUGCAGCUGGAAGUUGCUGCAGAGACUCAUGCAGUUCUCUGUAAACACACAUGGAUUGCUUUUUAAAUUUUGUUAUUAAUUAAUUAAGUACUUCAUUUUAUGUUUUCAACUCACAUUUAAGACCAAAAAGUAUUCCAAAUCCUUUUAGUUUUAGGUUUAAAGUUAUCUUUUAUUUUACCAACAGUUUAUUUCUAACUGAAAGUAAUAUCAGUAUUUUGGAGAGGCCCAACCUGAAUCUGAUAGAUAAUAUAUGAGUAAAUGUAAAGAUUGAAUAUGAACAACAUUGGGAUUAACUUUAUUUUAUUUUUUUUAAUUAAACUUUUAAUAUUAAAGUUAUGUCUUUUUAUGAGAAAUGCAA